Molecule: ribosomal RNA, 516 nt
Filed under: uncultured microorganism
Description: bacterial SSU rRNA
Rfam family: Bacterial small subunit ribosomal RNA
Source: RNAcentral
GAGUUUGAUCUUGGCUCAGGAUGAACGCUGGCGGCGUGCCUAAUACAUGCAAGUCGAGCGAACGGACGAGAAGCUUGCUUCUCUGAUGUUAGCGGCGGACGGGUGAGUAACACGUGGAUAACCUACCUAUAAGACUGGGAUAACUUCGGGAAACCGGAGCUAAUACCGGAUAAUAUUUUGGACCGCAUGGUUCAAAAGUGAAAGACGGUCUUGCUGUCACUUAUAGAUGGAUCCGCGCUGCAUUAGCUAGUUGGUAAGGUAACGGCUUACCAAGGCAACGAUGCAUAGCCGACCUGAGAGGGUGAUCGGCCACACUGGAACUGAGACACGGUCCAGACUCCUACGGGAGGCAGCAGUAGGGAAUCUUCCGCAAUGGGCGAAAGCCUGACGGAGCAACGCCGCGUGAGUGAUGAAGGUCUUCGGAUCGUAAAACUCUGUUAUUAGGGAAGACAUAUGUGUAAGUAACUGUGCACAUCUUGACGGUACCUAAUCAGAAAGCCACGGCUAACUACGUCG